Molecule: ribosomal RNA, 465 nt
Filed under: uncultured Klebsiella sp.
Lineage: Bacteria; Pseudomonadati; Pseudomonadota; Gammaproteobacteria; Enterobacterales; Enterobacteriaceae
Description: bacterial SSU rRNA
Rfam family: Bacterial small subunit ribosomal RNA
Source: RNAcentral
CCUACGGGAGGCUGCAGUGGGGAAUAUUGCACAAUGGGCGCAAGCCUGAUGCAGCCAUGCCGCGUGUGUGAAGAAGGCCUUCGGGUUGUAAAGCACUUUCAGCGGGGAGGAAGGCGGUGAGGUUAAUAACCUUAUCGAUUGACGUUACCCGCAGAAGAAGCACCGGCUAACUCCGUGCCAGCAGCCGCGGUAAUACGGAGGGUGCAAGCGUUAAUCGGAAUUACUGGGCGUAAAGCGCACGCAGGCGGUCUGUCAAGUCGGAUGUGAAAUCCCCGGGCUCAACCUGGGAACUGCAUUCGAAACUGGCAGGCUAGAGUCUUGUAGAGGGGGGUAGAAUUCCAGGUGUAGCGGUGAAAUGCGUAGAGAUCUGGAGGAAUACCGGUGGCGAAGGCGGCCCCCUGGACAAAGACUGACGCUCAGGUGCGAAAGCGUGGGGAGCAAACAGGAUUAGAUACCCUAGUAGUC